UUGAACGCUGGCGGCAUGCCUAACACAUGCAAGUCGAACGGUAACGCGGAGAGCUUGCUCUCUGGCGACGAGUGGCGGACGGGUGAGUAAUACUUAGGAAUCUGCCCAGUAGUGGGGGACAACAUUCGGAAACGGAUGCUAAUACCGCAUACGCACUACGGUGGAAAGUGGGGGAUCUUCGGACCUCACGCUAUUGGAUGAGCCUAAGUCGGAUUAGCUUGUUGGUGAGGUAAUGGCUCACCAAGGCGACGAUCCGUAGCUGGUCUGAGAGGACGAUCAGCCACACUGGAACUGAGACACGGUCCAGACUCCUACGGGAGGCAGCAGUGGGGAAUAUUGGACAAUGGGCGCAAGCCUGAUCCAGCAAUGCCGCGUGUGUGAAGAAGGCCUGCGGGUUGUAAAGCACUUUCAGUGGAGAAGAAAAGCUUACGGUUAAUACCCGUGAGUCUUGACGUAACCCACAGAAGAAGCACCGGCUAACUCCGUG
Molecule: ribosomal RNA, 487 nt
Filed under: uncultured bacterium
Lineage: Bacteria
Description: bacterial SSU rRNA
Rfam family: Bacterial small subunit ribosomal RNA
Source: RNAcentral